This 492-nucleotide ribosomal RNA is filed under the name uncultured bacterium. RNAcentral describes it as "partial 16S ribosomal RNA". It matches the Rfam family "Bacterial small subunit ribosomal RNA", at positions 29 to 507 of the family's 1533-position model. The record is from RNAcentral.
AGUGAACGCUGGCGGUAGGCCUAACACAUGCAAGUCGAACGGCAGCACAGUAAGAGCUUGCUCUUACGGGUGGCGAGUGGCGGACGGGUGAGGAAUACAUCGGAAUCUACUUUUUCGUGGGGGAUAACGUAGGGAAACUUACGCUAAUACCGCAUACGACCUACGGGUGAAAGCAGGGGAUCUUCGGACCUUGCGCGAUUGAAAGAGCCGAUGUCGGAUUAGCUAGUUGGCGGGGUAAAGGCCCACCAAGGCGACGAUCCGUAGCUGGUCUGAGAGGAUGAUCAGCCACACUGGAACUGAGACACGGUCCAGACUCCUACGGGAGGCAGCAGUGGGGAAUAUUGGACAAUGGGCGCAAGCCUGAUCCAGCCAUACCGCGUGGGUGAAGAAGGCCUUCGGGUUGUAAAGCCCUUUUGUUGGGAAAGAAAAGCAGCAGGUUAAUACCCUGCUGUUCUGACGGUACCCAAAGAAUAAGCACCGGCUAACUUCGUG